This 317-nucleotide long non-coding RNA is filed under the name Helianthus annuus (common sunflower). Its description in RNAcentral is "hypothetical non coding rna". Lineage: Eukaryota; Viridiplantae; Streptophyta; Magnoliopsida; Asterales; Asteraceae. The record is from RNAcentral.
AUGCAGGAACCAAGUCAGAACAGUCUAGGAGGUGAACCAAUUUCUAAUGACUUAAUCUAUCUUCAGAUCGUCGCACAGCAGAUUUUCUGGGAGAUACUUUUUAGAGAACACUUCGCGUAAGGAGGGUUACUACUUAUGUCACAACCGAGCAGAACCCGCAACAAUCCUGAUUUCUCACUUCGUUUCUCUCACACUUGACGCUUGCCAAUUUCGGGACGAAAUUUCCUUUAAGUUGAGGAUGAUGUGACAACCCCGAAUUUCCAAGGAUUGGGUUGUCCAACUGUACACAAGUAACUAACAAAUUAUACCGAGCAAAC